UACGAAGGGGGCUAGCGUUGUUCGGAAUUACUGGGCGUGAAGCGCACGUAGGCGGGUCGUUAAGUCAGGGGUGAAAUCCCAGAGCUCAACUCUGGAACUGCCUUUGAUACUGGCGACCUAGAGUUCGGAAGAGGUUAGUGGAAUUCCCAGUGUAGAGGUGAAAUUCGUAGAUAUUGGGAAGAACACCAGUGGCGAAGGCGGCUAACUGGUCCGAUACUGACGCUGAGGUGCGAAAGCGUGGGGAGCAAACAGGAUUAGAAACCCCGAGUAGU
Molecule: ribosomal RNA, 272 nt
Filed under: uncultured bacterium
Lineage: Bacteria
Description: partial 16S ribosomal RNA
Rfam family: Bacterial small subunit ribosomal RNA
Source: RNAcentral